GUACACGCUGUGACUAGCAUAUCAAUAAGCGGAGGAAAAGAAACUAACAAGGAUUCCCCUAGUAACGGCGAGUGAAGCGGGAAGAGCUCAAAUUUGAAAUCUUAAAGGGUUUCCCUUUACGAAUUGUAGUUUAAAGAAGUGUUUUCUGUUGAGGUUUUGGUAAAAGUUCUUUGGAAUAGGACAUCAUAGAGGGUGAGAAUCCCGUAUUUGACCUUUACUUUCAACUUUGUGAUACACUAUUCAAAGAGUCGGAUUGUUUGGGAAUGCAGUCCAAAAUGGGUGGUAAAUUUCAUCUAAAGCUAAAUAUUGGCGAGAGACCGAUAGCGAACAAGUACCGUGAGGGAAAGAUGAAAAGAACUUUGAAAAGAGAGUUAAACAGUACGUGAAAUUGUCAAAAGGGAAGCGUUUGACACCAGUGUUGUUUUUCUGAAAAUCAAUUAAAGAACUGUUUAUGCUAAGUUGUUUAGACUUUAUCAGCUAACUGUUUAGUUUUGAGCUUUUCUUUAAUGCACUUCUCAGUUAACAAGUCAACAUCAAUUUCUUUUGCUGUAAAAAAGCUUGAGGAAGGUGGCUUGAGAUUCGUCUUAAGUGUUUAUAGCCUCUUGCCUAUGCAGUCGGAGAGAUUGAGGUCUGCAGCGUAGAUCCUUCGGGGCUAAAUGCAUUUGUGCUAAGUUAUAACACUUUAUAGACAACUUGUUGACUAUGAUUUGUCUUGUAGCUUACUCGCUUAUGUUAUUUUACCUACGCUUAGGAUGUUGAAGUCAUCGUAUCGCGC
RNAcentral lists this ribosomal RNA (775 nucleotides) under uncultured Neocallimastigales. Its description in RNAcentral is "partial large subunit ribosomal RNA". It matches the Rfam family "Eukaryotic large subunit ribosomal RNA", at positions 22 to 645 of the family's 3401-position model. Lineage: Eukaryota; Fungi; Neocallimastigomycota; Neocallimastigomycetes; Neocallimastigales. The record is from RNAcentral.